Molecule: ribosomal RNA, 254 nt
Filed under: uncultured bacterium
Lineage: Bacteria
Description: partial 16S ribosomal RNA
Rfam family: Bacterial small subunit ribosomal RNA
Source: RNAcentral
CUAAGGCCGAUGGCGACCGGCGCACGGGUGAGUAACACGUAUCCAACCUGCCCUUUACUCGGGGAUAGCCUUUCGAAAGAAAGAUUAAUACCCGAUAGCAUAAUGAUUCCGCAUGGUUUCAUUAUUAAAGGAUUCCGGUAAAGGAUGGGGAUGCGUUCCAUUAGGUUGUUGGUGGGGUAACGGCCCACCAAGCCUUCGAUGGAUAGGGGUUCUGAGAGGAAGGUCCCCCACAUUGGAACUGAGACACGGUCCAA